Molecule: non-coding RNA, 46 nt
Organism: Schistosoma curassoni
Lineage: Eukaryota; Metazoa; Platyhelminthes; Trematoda; Strigeidida; Schistosomatidae
Source: Rfam
GCACUGCUGAGGAGUCCCACAAUAGAACGAGACGAUCGUCCAGUAC